CCUACGUGCUGCAGCAGUGAGGAAUAUUGGUCAAUGGCCGAGAGUCUGAACCAGCCAAGCCGCGUGCGGGAAGACGGCUCUAUGGGUUGUAAACUGCUUUUGUACGAGAGUAAACGCAGCUACGCGUGGCUCAUUGAGAGUAUCCUACGAAUAAGCAUCGGCUAACUCCGUGCCAGCAGCCGCGGUAAUACGGAGGAUUCCAGCGUUAUCCGGAUUUAUUGGGUUUAAAGGGUGCGUAGGCGGACUUUCAAGUCAGCGGUAAAAUCGCGGGGCUCAACCCCGUCGUGCCGUUGAAACUGCAUCCCUUGAGAGGGCGAGAGGUAUGCGGAAUGCGUGGUGUAGCGGUGAAAUGUAUAGAUAUCGCGCAGAACUCCGAUUGCGAAGGCAGCAUACCGGCGCGGAACUGACGCUCAUGCACGAAAGCGUGGGUAUCGAACAGGAUUAGAUACCCCGGUAGUC
Molecule: ribosomal RNA, 459 nt
Filed under: uncultured bacterium
Lineage: Bacteria
Description: partial 16S ribosomal RNA
Rfam family: Bacterial small subunit ribosomal RNA
Source: RNAcentral